This 580-nucleotide ribosomal RNA is filed under the name Trichoderma sp. F4. RNAcentral describes it as "eukaryotic LSU rRNA". The stretch from base 191 to 344 matches the Rfam family "5.8S ribosomal RNA". Lineage: Eukaryota; Fungi; Ascomycota; Sordariomycetes; Hypocreales; Hypocreaceae. The record is from RNAcentral.
UAACUCCCAACCCAAUGUGAACGUUACCAAACUGUUGCCUCGGCGGGAUCUCUGCCCCGGGUGCGUCGCAGCCCCGGACCAAGGCGCCCGCCGGAGGACCAACCAAAACUCUUAUUGUAUACCCCCUCGCGGGUUUUUUAUAAUCUGAGCCUUCUCGGCGCCUCUCGUAGGCGUUUCGAAAAUGAAUCAAAACUUUCAACAACGGAUCUCUUGGUUCUGGCAUCGAUGAAGAACGCAGCGAAAUGCGAUAAGUAAUGUGAAUUGCAGAAUUCAGUGAAUCAUCGAAUCUUUGAACGCACAUUGCGCCCGCCAGUAUUCUGGCGGGCAUGCCUGUCCGAGCGUCAUUUCAACCCUCGAACCCCUCCGGGGGGUCGGCGUUGGGGAUCGGCCCUCCCUUAGCGGGGGCCGUCUCCGAAAUACAGUGGCGGUCUCGCCGCAGCCUCUCCUGCGCAGUAGUUUGCACACUCGCAUCGGGAGCGCGGCGCGUCCACAGCCGUUAAACACCCAACUUCUGAAAUGUUGAUCUCGGAUCAGGUAGGAAUACCCGCUGAACUUAAGCAUAUCAAUAAGNCGGGAGGAA